AAGUACCAUCAACGAUUACAUGUUUAUUUCACUACCAGAAUUCAAUUUUGGCAAGCUUCACAACAAAACAAUAUAUGUAUGGUCGACGUUAUGAAUGGUUGAAAUACUUGUGUUUAUAUAUUUGUACGUUUGCAUUUUUAGAUGUAUAGAUUGAGAUACAGACGAACCCCUACACUCCAAUUAUUUUUUAUUUAUUUCAUGAAUUUAUUUAUUAAUAUUAACUCUAGUUGGGUUUAAAAGUACCAUCUAUGGAAUAAACUUUUUCUAUACAAAAUACCCAUAUUUUGAGAAAAAUACGGCACUUUGAAACAUACUCGCCAAAUUAUUGUAUUUGCAAAUCUAUUUCAAAUGCAAUUAUUAAAAAAUAAGAUAUAUACAUAAUCAAAAGCAAAAAAAAAUCGGCAAGUAAAUUCAUUCUGAAAAAGAUAUACAGAACACUAUGAAUAACUAAAUCAUAAAUAUCCGGCCAAUCAUUGUACUUGCAUAUCUUCAACAUAUCAAUAAGAGAAAAU
Brassica rapa (field mustard) is the source of this 512-nucleotide long non-coding RNA. RefSeq lists it as uncharacterized. The record is from RefSeq and is a predicted model, not a curated record. Lineage: Eukaryota; Viridiplantae; Streptophyta; Magnoliopsida; Brassicales; Brassicaceae.